UCGGGAAUUUUGGGCAAUGGGCGAAAGCCUGACCCAGCAACGCCGCGUGAAGGAUGAAGUAUUUCGGUAUGUAAACUUCGAAAGAAUAGGAAGAAUAAAUGACGGUACUAUUUAUAGGGUCCGGCUAACUACGUGCCAGCAGCCGCGGUAAUACGUAGGGUGCGAGCGUUAAUCGGAAUUACUGGGCGUAAAGCGUGCGCAGGCGGUUAUAUAAGACAGAUGUGAAAUCCCCGGGCUCAACCUGGGACCUGCAUUUGUGACUGUAUAGCUAGAGUACGGUAGAGGGGGAUGGAAUUCCGCGUGUAGCAGUGAAAUGCGUAGAUAUGCGGAGGAACACCGAUGGCGAAGGCAAUCCCCUGGACCUGUACUGACGCUCAUGCACGAAAGCGUGGGGAGCAAACAGGAUUAGAUACCCACGUAGUCCCUGAGCGGGCUGGCAAGGCGCAU
This 447-nucleotide ribosomal RNA is filed under the name uncultured bacterium. Its description in RNAcentral is "bacterial SSU rRNA". It matches the Rfam family "Bacterial small subunit ribosomal RNA", at positions 355 to 825 of the family's 1533-position model. The record is from RNAcentral.